Sarcophilus harrisii (Tasmanian devil) is the source of this 1339-nucleotide RNA transcript. It is a transcript of the gene named testis expressed 26, with no coding region annotated. The record is from RefSeq and is a predicted model, not a curated record. The transcript is spliced from 8 exons. NCBI's taxonomy places the organism in Eukaryota, Metazoa, Chordata, Mammalia, Dasyuromorphia, Dasyuridae.
GGGCACAAUGCACGGCGAUCGCGUGAUGCUCACGUCAAGUCAGGUCUUGGAGCCGUGUCCCCGAGUCUCCAAAGCGACGGGUCACAAUAAAUGCCCCGGAGCCCCCAUUUUUCUGUUCCUAGAUUUCAGUCGGCUGCCGAAUGAGUCCUGGCAAAGGAUCCUAGCGUCCUGAACUCUGCUAGCAAAAACAUACAAACAACUGGAGACUGACGGGAACUUGUUUCCCAACAUCCAUUCCAGCUAUGUCCGGACCAGCGGGAGAUACUAAUUGGAAUUCCUAUGAAACGACAAUGAUGCAUGAAUACACCCCUAAACGAGGAGAAAUUCCUGAUAUAGUUCGUCAUACUGAUUUCAAGGGGUUAGGAUAUUCAUACAAGCUCAAUGAUCCUAUCCACGCUAGAACAUUAUACACUGAACAGUUUAAUUGGAAGCCAUCCUCCAAAGACGACAUGAUAAGGACUGCAACUUCUUCUGGAACUAGAACCAAUAAACCCCAUCCUAGCAAGGAAUUUAUGACCUGGAAACUUUCUCAAGAGGGUCCAAAAACAGUUGCAGAGAGAACCGCUCCAUGUCAAAAGUUGACAACAGUAAAAAAGGCAGAGAGCUCUCUUCCAGAUCAAGAGGUGGAAACAGUAAGAAGUUCAGAGAGUUCUCCAUGGAGAAUUCCUGCUACACUCAAAGAAAUCCGUAAAGCAAUAGCUGAUCAGUAUACUUCUCGUUUCCGAGAAGACUACUUGGAUAAUUCAAAAUUAAAGAAACCAACCAUACAAGGGCCUCUUGAUUGGAAAACGUUACUUCCUCGGCGUCUAGAAACUGAGUUUAGGCGUAAUUUCCAAAUCCCAAUGAAGAUACCUGAAUUACGAGACUUGAAUGUCAAAUAUGGAUAUAAUGCAACAGUACCAGUUCCUGCAGCUUGUGGAACUGUUCCUUCCAUUCUGCUUAAUCACAUUUGGAACCAAGAACAUUCAAAGAAACAGAGUACAUAUGAGAGGCAUUAUGGAAAGGAGUCCUUAGAUUUGGCAAUGCUUUUGAAUUCUCUCAAUGAAAAUGAAAUCAAGAAAUAUCUUGAGAAAGUUCCAGAGGAUGGGGGAAAAUAACUGUUUUAAAGAGGUUUUGUAGGGAGGAUGGAAGCGCCUCAUUCAGAUACUUCCAGUUGGUUCACAUCUCUGAUGUCUCAGAAAGAAAACUUCUUCAGAAUUUCGUUAAUGAAAAUUACAACAGGAGUGGCAACAAGCAUAAAUAAGCUUAGCCAAUGUUUAUGGACAUCAAUCCAGUACUUAAAGAACAAAUUCAUACUUCUGUUAGUAUUGAAAAAUAAUAAGAUAGUUGCUAAUUUAAA